GUAUUCUCCGUCAUAUGGCUGAUGGAGUAUCGUAUCUGCUAGAUCUCUGGUAAGCAAAGGACUAAUCAAAAGGGUGAGAUCAUGAUCAUCCAUAUCUGUAUGGAACGAUCCAUGGCUCCCAACCACUCGCCCGAGACCAGCUAAUAAAAACCAACAUAAUUAUUAUCUAGACCUCACAGUAGAUUCUCUCAUUGAUUCUACUUCGCGAACUUGGAACUCGCAGGCACUCCAAACUUUGGUGGACCCACAUGAUGUGAAAAUUAUAGAAAACAUACCACUGAGCAGAACCCAGAUGGUAGAUAGAGAUGGAUGGCAUUUCACAAAUAAUGGGAAAUAUACUGUAAAAUUAGGAUAUCAGGUAGAACGGGUUUACACAGACACGGAAAAACCACCAUUAAUGUUUGGACCUACAAUUGAUGCUUUGAAGGCGUUCUGUUGGAAAAUAUGGUGUCCACCAAAGAUAAAACAUUUUCUAUGGCAAUUGGUGACAUGGUGUAUAGCAGUCAAGAAAAAUCUGCAAGCGUGUGGGAUACAGGGGGAUAUAUGUUGUGCAAGAUGCGGAGACGAUGAGGAAUCGAUAAACCAUGUAUUUUUUGAAUGUCCUCCAGCACUUCAGGUUUGGGAUCUCUCAAAGAUAUCAUCAAAUCCAGUCAUUUUCCCAACAAUCUCUCUUUUCACAAAUAUGGAUCAUCUAUUCUGGAGAGUUUCCCCGCAUAUGGAUGAUCAUCAAUUUGCAUGGAUAUUAUGGUACAUUUGGAAAGGAAUGAAUAAUAAAGUUUUUAGUAAUCUGGAUAUUGACCCUAGAUACACGUUUAAUUUGGCAGAAAGAGAAUCAAUACUUUGGGCUGAGACACAAAUAUUGAAUGAACAGAGGAGAAUACCACAAGUAGAGAUUACGACUCUACCGUCAAUCCCAAGAAGAUGGUGUUUCACAGAUGGUUCCUGGAAGGAGAAUGAUAUUUUUUCCGGAUAGGGUUGGUUCAGUACUUUAGAAGGUUUUGAUGGGCUGAUGGAGGCGAGGAAUGUUCGGGCUAGUUUAUCUCUUCUACAUGCGGAGGUGGAAGCGCUACUCUGGGCAAUGGAAUGUAUGAAAAACUUACGUCAAUUUCAGGUUACGUUUGCAACGGAUUGUUCUCAAUUGGUAAAGAUGGUUUCGAAACCAGAAGAAUGACCAGCUUUUGUAAGUUAUUUGGAAGAUUUAGAAGUCCUGAAAGAAAAUUUCUUUCGAUCAUAAAUUAUCUAUGUACCAAGGACGCAAAAUACGAAGGCGGAUAGCCUAGCACGCAGUGUCAGGAAGCAACCGUCUUUUGUCAUUCACAUGGAUCAAGAUCUCCCGAUUUGGUUCACAGAGUCAGUAUGAGUUUGUAUAAGUUGAUGACAAAAAAAACAAAAACCCAACACUUAAAAUAUUAAAUAGCUUAACUAAAAUAAAGAUCAUAACAGCAAAUCAUAUCCAACUGGAAAGUUCUAGCGUUUCCAAAAAAGAAACGCGAGUUUCCAAAAUAGAAAUGCAAGUUUUCAAUAAGUUUCCAAACUAAGAUUUUUUAAAACGAGUUUCCAAUGCGUUUCCGCGAGUUUCCGAGAGAUUCCGAUUCUGAAACGUUUAUGAAACGUGAAACGGACCUUCGGUUGAGUUUCCAUGCGACAUAGGUUUGUACAACUUCUUACUUCUAGAUGUCAAAGGUUCAACGGAUACAAUUUUUUUUUGUUCUAGGCAGUCAGGACCGGAUUUAAGACUUCUGGAAGUAUAAACAUCUUUUAAAAUCUUUAAUAAAAAGUAUUUAUAAUUUAAGAAUGUAUACUUAUGUAAUUUUUUUUAAUUUUUUUAAGAAGACCAUUGUUUUUACUGGGGUUGCCAAGAUCCGGACUUGUAGACUGUCCAAUACAUUAAGCCGAACCUAACAAAAAUUAUUCUAAUCACGACCUAUGAUAUAGUCGAAUCAUGUGAAUGAUCCGACUAUAAAUAAAAGAGUUCAUUCAAUUCCUUCCGACAUUUUUUCCUUCCUAAACAAAAAAAACACUAAUCACUGAUAUGUUCUUUGUUUUCUUCUUUUUAUUUAUAGCAGUUUAUCAGACAAAUAAAUUAUUAUUUAUAGUAAUCAUCGAACAUAUUGUUUCACAUUAUCAAAAGUUUUCAAACAUUACAUCAUUAUCUCUGGUUUUUCACAUAGUUGAUAUCCAUGUCCAACAAAUCAACACCUUAAUCAUUGUUAUAGGAUGACAGCUAUCGGCUUUUGAGCGGUGUGUCUCACAUAAGCGACCUCGUUUUCUCUCAAACCAAAUCACUUUUAAAUGUUGUGGGUGGAAGCUCUCCGGACCGGCGACUUCUUCGGACCGAAAGUUGUUGUCUCACCUCUCUUUCUUUCGGUCAUCUGGUCUAAUUUGUCAAAACAGUUUCGGUCUUAGCGUUUCACAGAAUCACAGUGGUACUCUUUAUGUCUCUUUCUCAGCAAUCCUGGAAAAGUUUUGUUUCAGUAACCUUUAUGAAAAGUUCUGGACGAGAUAUGUAAGAUCCAAAAUCACACGUUAACUUUUUUCAAAAAAAAAAAAAAAAAAAAAAAUCACAAGUUUACUAUUAGGAUCUAGGAAUUUUGCUGGAUCUUUGAAGGAAACCGCAGACGAAGGAACUAUCUUUGGGAUGGCGGUUCUCCAAGAUUUUCUUUCCUUGGAAGCGGCUUCUUCUCGACACGGCGGGCGGGUGGAGACGUACGCCAGACUUGUGAAUCAACGAAAAUACAAGGUGUCCUCCGAUGGUGGAUAUCAGAUCCAUGAUGUUGCGAUUUCCAAAUUUGGAGACCUUUUGUAUUCAUCGGAGUUGGAAAAAUAGAUUCACUGAACUUUUUUCCCUCAGCUCAUUUUUCUAGUUUCUACUCAUGCUUGUUGUUGUUUCACCGGUUAGCAGGCGCUCAUGUACAUGUUUCUGUUCCCCUGGAUGGGUUGAACUCAUCUAAAAUAUAAUUAUUUAACAAA
Long non-coding RNA from Brassica napus (rape), 2970 nucleotides. RefSeq lists it as uncharacterized. The record is from RefSeq and is a predicted model, not a curated record. The transcript has 2 exons. Lineage: Eukaryota; Viridiplantae; Streptophyta; Magnoliopsida; Brassicales; Brassicaceae.